RNAcentral lists this long non-coding RNA (305 nucleotides) under Androctonus crassicauda. Lineage: Eukaryota; Metazoa; Arthropoda; Arachnida; Scorpiones; Buthidae. The record is from RNAcentral.
GAUGACACCACUUUCCACUCAGUACUCUUACUAAGUGAUGGGGCAAAUAAGCCCUUCCAAGGCUGUCCACCCCUGUGAAAGGUCAGCUGGAUUGUGGGAGACUGGGAUCAACAGGCUGGAUCUAGACCCCAUGAUAAAUAUUUUCAAGGGGUGGGACCUGAGACUCUCCACUCCAGAGGACCAGGUUAAAGCUGAAGGUGUUUCCACACAGCCAAUCUGGCCAAAUGCCUUAUCCAGUCAAACUACCAAGAUAUUGGCAGAUUUCCAAUUUUGGGAUGCAUAUAAUCUAAGUAAUUUAAAAUUAU